AAUUGAAUUAAAAUUGUGUACUACGUGGGCAGGCUGUGAUAGGUAAUUAAGUUUAUUGAUUAUGCUGCAGCUCGGUUUGUCAGAUGUACAGCGCACCCUGCACUAUAAUUGCUGUUAUAUAUACUGGACAGAGCCAGUCUCAGAUGGUGCAAACUGGCACGAGGCCAUUCCUUCAGCAGCAGCUUUCUCCAGUUCUGGACUUUGUGUUACUGCUUUCUGUAAGAGGUUCAUAAGCAUAACAGAUGAACCUCAUCUUGCUCGAGAAUGUUGUAAAAUUAGACAUUUAUCUGUCUCAAGAACCACAUGGACUGAAUGGUCCAUAAACCUCCUCUCUAAGCCAGUGGUGAUUUAUAGGUUCAAAUGGAGGCUAUGCUGAAUUUUCACUUUGCAGCCAGAAGCAGAAAUUGCAUUUGACUGGGGACCACACUGAGCACUGUCAGAUUUGUAUUUGAAGUCCUAAACUCAAUGCAGAGUUUGUUGGGUUGCGAAUGGGAAAGAAUAAAACUAAAUAUUUGCAGAACACUUCUUCUCCAGGAGCACAAAUACCAGAUUUUAUUCAAACCAGCCAUAGUUUUCCAUGGAGCAAGAAGAAUGCGGUUUGAUGCUAGUGCUAAAAUGAAGCGCUGGGAGCAGUGGGAAAAGGAAACUGAGAAGGAGUCCAUGUCUGCAGGAGAAGCCUGCAGGGCAGGUGAGGGAGCAUGCAGUCACACUGGCGUCUGCAUCACGGUAAGGACAUGAAGGCGUUAAUCCAGCAAACCUCAGAAGUCACAGAGGAGACCUAUGGGAUUUCUGCUGCAGUCAGCGGGGCUGCUCACAGUUUUAAAGCCAUGCUUUGCUGAAGGAAGUCUCUCAAGCUCAGCUUUCAAGGGACUGAGAAGCUUUUGAAAAUUGGGUACUGAGCAUCCAGUUUUAGUUGGGAAUAAUGCUUUCUCUUCUCCAUAUGAUACACCUGAACUUCAGGAACCAGUCAAAUUAACUUAGCUUUCCUGUAUUAUGCAAUAUAUAUUGCCUCCAGAUACUCACCUUGAAGCCAGUACCUAUUUCCUAGCCAGAAGGCUGAAAAAUACUCUGAGAAAUGUCUCUGAAAUCGUUAUUUCUGAAAUGUGAUAAUCCAGCUUGAAGGAGAAGAAAGCAGUAAACCUAUUUUUGAGUAUGCUAAGGGAUUUUUUUUCCUUUAUGUCUCUUCCUCUCUAUCCAAAUCCUUGAGUCCGUUUAUUGCCUUCUUUGAUUGAAAUGCUUCGUUGCUGAAGGGCUGCUUCUGCUGGGCUCUGGCUGCUGGUGAGCACUUUAGUUUCAAAACGUGCACACAGAGAAUGUGUCAUUAGGGAAGAAGGUGCUGCUGAGGGGAAGUCAAGGUUAAGGUUAUCUCCUCUGAAUAUCAGACAAGAUGCUAAAGAGGUAUCUUUAUUUUCACAUAUAUAUUUAAAAAAUGAUUUUAAAACCUCUACUGAAG
This 1453-nucleotide long non-coding RNA is filed under the name Gallus gallus (chicken). Its description in RNAcentral is "lncRNA (ENSGALG00010004733.1)". The record is from RNAcentral. Lineage: Eukaryota; Metazoa; Chordata; Aves; Galliformes; Phasianidae.